Molecule: unclassified non-coding RNA, 306 nt
Filed under: uncultured Chaetospermum
Lineage: Eukaryota; Fungi; Basidiomycota; Agaricomycetes; Sebacinales
Description: sequence contains ITS2
Source: RNAcentral
AACGCACCUUGCACCCUUUGGUAUUCCGAAGGGUAUGCCCGUUUGAGUGUCAUUGUAAUCUCACACCCCUAGAUUUAUUCGACGGGCGGUGGACUUGGAUGCUGCCGCGUUAAGCGGCUCGUCUUAAAUGCAUUAGUGCAACUUUCGGUUGGACAUAGUACAGCGUGAUAAGUAUCUUCGCUGGCUCUCCUCACGGAGGUGUUCGAACGUUAAGCUCUGUGCUUCUAAUCGUCCCCUGGUGGAUUAAGCUUCGGCUUACUUGACAACCUUGACCUCAAAUCGGGUAGGACUACCCGCUGAACUUAA